AGCCUGGUCACUGCCCUUUCACUUUUGGAAACUAGUGAAUGUGUUGUCAAAGAAAAAAAAAGUGUAAAUUAACUACUUUGCAGGUUUUUCACUCCUCUGAUUUUUUUUAUAUCUUUGGCAUAGGAACUGCAUAAAUAGCAGCU
This is a small nucleolar RNA of Talpa occidentalis (Iberian mole), 143 nucleotides long. RefSeq annotates it as small nucleolar RNA SNORA13. The record is from RefSeq and is a predicted model, not a curated record. NCBI's taxonomy places the organism in Eukaryota, Metazoa, Chordata, Mammalia, Eulipotyphla, Talpidae. The transcript has a single exon.